AAUAAGUGCAGUUUUAACAUUGUUUAUGCUCAACGUUUAAUCGUUCGUCUUAUUUGAAAAACAAUUAUGAUUAGUAUUUUUAUUGUUAUUAGAUGAUAAUACAUGAAUAGUACUUUAUGUGUGUAUUUUUAAUUUUUUUAAUAUUUUUAAUUUUUUUUAUAAAAUUUUUAAAUAAGACAAGACGGUCAAAACACUAGACAUGGAUAUCUAUGGCUGCAUUUAUU
Molecule: microRNA precursor, 224 nt
Filed under: Oryza rufipogon (brownbeard rice)
Lineage: Eukaryota; Viridiplantae; Streptophyta; Magnoliopsida; Poales; Poaceae
Description: MIR812 microRNA precursor family
Rfam family: MIR812 microRNA precursor family
Source: Rfam by way of RNAcentral